Molecule: ribosomal RNA, 307 nt
Filed under: uncultured beta proteobacterium E23_pH7/50/FL
Lineage: Bacteria; Pseudomonadati; Pseudomonadota; Betaproteobacteria
Description: bacterial SSU rRNA
Rfam family: Bacterial small subunit ribosomal RNA
Source: RNAcentral
AAAAGCAGGGGAUCGCAAGACCUUGCGCUCUUGGAGCGGCCGAUGUCUGAUUAGCUAGUUGGUGAGGUAAAGGCUUACCAAGGCGACGAUCAGUAGCUGGUCUGAGAGGACGACCAGCCACACUGGGACUGAGACACGGCCCAGACUCCUACGGGAGGCAGCAGUGGGGAAUUUUGGACAAUGGGGGAAACCCGCAUCCAGCCAUGCCGCGUGAGUGAAGAAGGCCUUCGGGUUGUAAAGCUCUUUCAGCCGGAACGAAACGGUCACGGUUAAUACCCGUGACUACUGACGGUACCGGAAGAAGAAG